Carya illinoinensis is the source of this 793-nucleotide long non-coding RNA. RefSeq lists it as uncharacterized. NCBI's taxonomy places the organism in Eukaryota, Viridiplantae, Streptophyta, Magnoliopsida, Fagales, Juglandaceae. The transcript is spliced from 3 exons. The record is from RefSeq and is a predicted model, not a curated record.
CUGGUGGGAGUAUUUUAUUGAUAGAACCAUCGCCAUCACUUAUGCAGACUUCUCUUGGAGAACGAUGGGAGAGGUAGAUGAUCAUACCAGUAUUACUACUCAUGAUAACAACAAAGAAGCGAAAAGUCUGGAUUCUCCUGAGCUCGAAUUCUCAAAAGACGAGGUGGUACUUAUUACUAGGAUGUUCAGAUUAGUCGGAGAAAGGUUAUCUCUAAUUGCUGGGAGGAUUCCUAGAAGAACUGCAGAAGAGAUUGAGAAGUACUGGACUUCAAGACACACAUGAUGAUGAUGAUCUUCAACCUCGAGCGGAAGACGAUGACUAGGAUCCAAACGUACGCUAAGACCUACAAUUAGUUUAUACGGUUUGAUUUAAAUCUUGUUAAUUAGUUGUUGCAGUAUGCAUGCGCAUUAUAAGAAAAAUAGCUUUUUGCAUGAUUUAAAAUCGUCGCAAAAAUCAUACAAAAUAUGGUGAUUAUUUUCUAGCGUCAUUGAAAAAUUGAUGCAAGAUGGUCGGUAAUAUUGAGUUCCAAAAAGUUUUUUGCGUCAAAAUAAAAUAUUAACGCAAAAAUAAUUAUUUGGUGACGAUAUUUGUUGACGCUAAAGGACAAUAACUUUGAUGCAAAAGAUAAUUCAACAAUAGGAAAAUGCCCUAUGAGCGACCAGAGUCCAGUGUCACAUAAACAAAAUAGGACUGCAAAUAACUUCAUUUUCGUCACAUAUAUAUCGUCACAAAAUUACUGGCUUGUUGUAAAUGGACUAUUUUUUUGCUUCUAUAUAUAUUGUUGCAAGAAAU